Molecule: long non-coding RNA, 1084 nt
Organism: Homo sapiens (human)
Lineage: Eukaryota; Metazoa; Chordata; Mammalia; Primates; Hominidae
Product: long independently transcribed non-coding RNA 529
Exons: 5
Source: RefSeq, marked validated
AGAGCGCCGCGCCACGAGGUGUAACCUGGAGCAAGAAAGAGGAAAAACAGGAAUACCUGUGAGAGGAACCCAAGUACAUGCAGUGCACAGAAGAGCAAGUCACUUGACUUGCUGGCGGCCACCCCGUUAAUCUGCAGCAGAGCCUGGACUUCAGUCUGCAUCUGUGAAACCCAGCGCAUGGAGACCAUCAAGCUUCAGAUGAUCAUGCAACAAGGUUUCCAGCCAGUUCAGGUGAAGACACCACUACUGGCCAUCAAGAAGCUACCCUGUAUCCACUAGACAGAGCAGAGUGAGAGUUCUGUGAUCCCAAAUAGAGAUGUUCACCUUAAGAGGACAGAUCUGCAGGUACCACCCGAUCCGUAACUCGGUGAUUCCAAAGAGAAGAACAUACCUUUCUAAUGGAGAUGUCUGGUGAUCACCACCAUAGCCGAGGGAUAGCAGUGCGGCACCCGGACGUGCUGAGCUGCAGACACAAUGACAGGUCCCACCUUACCUGGAAGAACCAUGAAGAUCAAAUAGAAGGUCCUUGUGCAUGAAGCUCAGCGGAAAAAAGCUCGGAUGUAGGGGUUGGAGACAGUUGUCGCUCAAGGUGCAAACUCCGGGCUGGCGCUGUGUGUGAACAGAUAACAACAAAAUGUAUGUGGCUGAGUCCACUAGGAAGACGCUUCUGUACCACAUGGAGUUCUCUGAAUUAACUUCCAGAUAUAUUAAAAUUAUUAAUGGUAAGUAAGAAAUGUAUCAAAUUGAAGCUUACAUACAUAUUGCUAAGAUGCCAUCAUGUCUGCAGAGAUUAUUUGGAACUUUGAACAACAAAAGAUUUUUUUUUUUUUUUGCAGAACAGUAUUUUAUCACUGAUGUUAUUUAGAGUUGCUAGCACUUGGUGAUAUCACAAGCGAACUGACUUUUAGUCAGCUGUGUUAUUGUGUUUAAAUUCUCUACAAACAUCCCUCAUUGCCUGCCUCAGGGGCAGGCGGCCCCUGCAGCUCUGUCUUGUGUAUGCAGCUGAUUUAAAGCCAUGGCAACAUCACAGUUAACACUAUCUAUGCACCUGUAAGAAGUGUUUAAUUAAAACUAACAGUCUUGA